This 613-nucleotide ribosomal RNA is filed under the name uncultured bacterium. RNAcentral's name for it is "bacterial SSU rRNA". It matches the Rfam family "Bacterial small subunit ribosomal RNA", at positions 84 to 732 of the family's 1533-position model. The record is from RNAcentral.
AUUUUGACUGAGCGGCGGACGGGUGAGUAACGCGUGGGUACCUGCCUCAUACAGGGGGAUAACAGUUAGAAAUGACUGCUAAUACCGCAUAAGACCGCAUGGUAAAAACUCCGGUGGUAUGAGAUGGACCCGCGUCUGAUUAGUUAGUUGGUGGGGUAACGGCCUACCAAGGCGACGAUCAGUAGCCGACCUGAGAGGGUGACCGGCCACAUUGGGACUGAGACACGGCCCAAACUCCUACGGGAGGCAGCAGUGGGGAAUAUUGCACAAUGGGGGAAACCCUGAUGCAGCGACGCCGCGUGAGCGAAGAAGUAUUUCGGUAUGUAAAGCUCUAUCAGCAGGGAAGAAAAUGACGGUACCUGACUAAGAAGCCCCGGCUAACUACGUGCCAGCAGCCGCGGUAAUACGUAGGGGGCAAGCGUUAUCCGGAUUUACUGGGUGUAAAGGGAGCGUAGACGGAGCAGCAAGUCUGAUGUGAAAACCCGGGGCUCAACCCCGGGACUGCAUUGGAAACUGUUGAUCUGGAGUGCCGGAGAGGUAAGCGGAAUUCCUAGUGUAGCGGUGAAAUGCGUAGAUAUUAGGAGGAACACCAGUGGCGAAGGCGGCUUACUGG